CCGCCCGUCACAUCAUGAAAGCCGGUUGUACCCGAAGUCAAUGUGCCAACCGCAAGGAGGCAGUUGCCGAAGGUAUGGCUGGUGAUUGGGAUG
RNAcentral lists this ribosomal RNA (93 nucleotides) under uncultured bacterium. RNAcentral describes it as "partial 16S ribosomal RNA". It matches the Rfam family "Bacterial small subunit ribosomal RNA", at positions 1390 to 1482 of the family's 1533-position model. The record is from RNAcentral.